RNAcentral lists this ribosomal RNA (197 nucleotides) under uncultured bacterium. RNAcentral's name for it is "partial 16S ribosomal RNA". It matches the Rfam family "Bacterial small subunit ribosomal RNA", at positions 328 to 539 of the family's 1533-position model. The record is from RNAcentral.
ACGCUCGACACCUACGGGAGGCNGCAGUGGGGAAUAUUGCACAAUGGGGGAAACCCUGAUGCAGCGACGCCGCGUGGAGGAAGAAGGUCUUCGGAUUGUAAACUCCUGUUGUUGGGGAAAAAGAGGAUGGUACCCAACAAGGAAGUGACGGCUAACUACGUGCCAGCAGUCGGGUAAUCUGAGCGGGCUGGCAAGGC